UACAGAGGUCUCAAGCGUUGUUCGGAUUCAUUGGGCGUAAAGGGUGCGUAGGCGGCGCGGUAAGUCGGGUGUGAAAUCUCGGAGCUUGACUCCGAAACUGCAUUCGAUACUGCCGCGCUUGAGGACUGGAGAGGAGACUGGAAUUUACGGUGUAGCGGUGAAAUGCGUAGAUAUCGUAAGGAAGACCAGUGGCGAAGGCGGGUCUCUGGACAGUUCCUGACGCUGAUGCACGAAGGUCAGGGGAGCAAACGGG
This 253-nucleotide ribosomal RNA is filed under the name uncultured bacterium. Its description in RNAcentral is "partial 16S ribosomal RNA". It matches the Rfam family "Bacterial small subunit ribosomal RNA", at positions 524 to 776 of the family's 1533-position model. The record is from RNAcentral.